RNAcentral lists this ribosomal RNA (315 nucleotides) under uncultured archaeon. RNAcentral's name for it is "bacterial SSU rRNA". It matches the Rfam family "Archaeal small subunit ribosomal RNA", at positions 1029 to 1343 of the family's 1478-position model. The record is from RNAcentral.
UUUAGUCAGGCAACGAGCGAGACCCACGCCAACAGUUGCCAGCAUGUUCUCCGGAAUGAUGGGGACACUGUUGGGACCGCCUCUGCUAAAGAGGAGGAAGGAAUGGGCAACGGUAGGUCAGCAUGCCCCGAAUUAUCCGGGCUACACGCGGGCUACAAUGGUCGGGACAAUGAGCAACGACACUGAGAAGUGUAGUCAAUCUCCUAAACCCGUCCCAAGUUCGGAUUGUGGGCUGUAACUCGCCCACAUGAAGCUGGAAUCCGUAGUAAUCGCGUUUCAAAAUAGCGCGGUGAAUGCGUCCCUGCUCCUUGCACA